GAUGAACGCUGGCGGCGUGCCUAAUACAUGCAAGUCGAGCGAACAGACGAGGAGCUUGCUCCUCUGACGUUAGCGGCUGACGGGUGAGUAACACGUGGAUAACCUACCUAUAAGACUGGGAUAACUUCGGGAAACCGGAUCUAAUACCGGAUAAUAUAUUGAACCGCAUGGUUCAAUAGUGAAAGACGGUUUUGCUGUCACUUAUAGAUGGAUCCGCGCCGCAUUAGCUAGUUGGUAAGGUAACGGCUUACCAAGGCAACGAUGCGUAGCCGACCUGAGAGGGUGAUCGGAGACACUGGAACUGAGAAACGGUCCAGACUACUACGGGAGGCAGCAGUAGGGAAUCUUCCGCAAUGGGCGAAAGCAUGACGGAGCAACGCCGAGUGAGUGAUGAAGGUCUUAGGAUCGUAAAACUCUGUUAUUAGGGAAGAACAAAUGUGUAAGUAACUAUGCACGUAUUGACGGUACCUAAUCAGAAAGCCACGGCUAACUACGUG
This 497-nucleotide ribosomal RNA is filed under the name uncultured bacterium. RNAcentral's name for it is "partial 16S ribosomal RNA". It matches the Rfam family "Bacterial small subunit ribosomal RNA", at positions 28 to 507 of the family's 1533-position model. The record is from RNAcentral.